UACAGAGGGGGCAAGCGUUGUUCGGAAUUACUGGGCGUAAAGGGCGCGUAGGCGGCCUUCUAAGUCAGACGUGAAAUCCCUCGGCUCAACCGGGGAACUGCGUCUGAGACUGGAAGGCUUGAAUCCGGGAGAGGGAUGUGGAAUUCCAGGUGUAGCGGUGAAAUGCGUAGAUAUCUGGAGGAACACCGGUGGCGAAGGCGGCAUCCUGGACCGGUAUUGAUGCUGAUGCGCGAAAGCCAGGGGAGCAAACGGG
This 253-nucleotide ribosomal RNA is filed under the name uncultured bacterium. RNAcentral's name for it is "partial 16S ribosomal RNA". It matches the Rfam family "Bacterial small subunit ribosomal RNA", at positions 524 to 776 of the family's 1533-position model. The record is from RNAcentral.